RNAcentral lists this transfer-messenger RNA (363 nucleotides) under Vallitalea guaymasensis. RNAcentral's name for it is "Standard tmRNA". It matches the Rfam family "transfer-messenger RNA". Rfam says of the family: Bacterial tmRNA, also known as 10Sa RNA or SsrA, is named for its dual tRNA and mRNA-like properties. Lineage: Bacteria; Bacillati; Bacillota; Clostridia; Lachnospirales; Vallitaleaceae. The record is from Rfam by way of RNAcentral.
GGGGGUGUACUGGUUUCGACGGGGACAUCAGAAGUACGAGCAGCCAUUCGCAGAUCACUGGGCCUGCGUCAUCAACCUGGUAAAUUAAAUUAAACGCAGACGAAAAUAAUAAUAAUUUCGCAUUUGCUGCCUAAUUAGGUAGCUGUCUCACCUUAGUGACCCGUAGCUAGGGCUGAGGCACCAAAUUAAACGGGGAACUUCACUUCCAAAGCUUUGAGGGAGAGGAAGACACUAUGAAGCUACUAAAGUCUACAGCCUGUCGUUAGGCGUUAGAUGGAGGGAAUGUUAAAAUAGCGACUGUAAUGGGAGAUACUCGGAUGGAUGGGUUUUCGGACAGGGGUUCGACUCCCCUCACCUCCAUUA